CCUACGGGGGGCAGCAGUGGGGGAUAUUGCACAAUGGGGGGAACCCUGAUGCAGCGACGCCGCGUGGGUGAAGAAGCGCCUCGGCGCGUAAAGCCCUGUCAGCAGGGAAGAAAAUGACGGUACCUGAUGAAGAAGCCCCGGCUAACUACGUGCCAGCAGCCGCGGUAAUACGUAGGGGGCAAGCGUUAUCCGGAUUUACUGGGUGUAAGGGGGGCGCAGACGGCGAUGCAAGCUAGGAGUGAAAGCCCGGGGCCCAACCCCGGGACUGCUCUUGGAACUGCGUGGCUGGAGUGCAGGAGGGGCAGGCGGAAUUCCUGGUGUAGCGGUGAAAUGCGUAGAUAUCAGGAGGAACACCGGUGGCGAAGGCGGCCUGCUGGACUGCAACUGACGUUGAGGCCCGAAAGCGUGGGGAGCAAACAGGAUUAGAUACCCUAGUAGUC
This 440-nucleotide ribosomal RNA is filed under the name uncultured bacterium. Its description in RNAcentral is "partial 16S ribosomal RNA". It matches the Rfam family "Bacterial small subunit ribosomal RNA", at positions 338 to 795 of the family's 1533-position model. The record is from RNAcentral.